GAUGAACGCUGGCGGCGUGCUUAACACAUGCAAGUCGAACGAUGAAGCCCAGCUUGCUGGGUGGAUUAGUGGCGAACGGGUGAGUAACACGUGAGUAACCUGCCCUUAACUCUGGGAUAAGCCUGGGAAACUGGGUCUAAUACCGGAUAGGAGCGUCCACCGCAUGGUGGGUGUUGGAAAGAUUUAUCGGUUUUGGAUGGACUCGCGGCCUAUCAGCUUGUUGGUGAGGUAAUGGCUCACCAAGGCGACGACGGGUAGCCGGCCUGAGAGGGUGACCGGCCACACUGGGACUGAGAGACGGCCCAGACUCCUACGGGAGGCAGCAGUGGGGAAUAUUGCACGAUGGGCGCAAGCCUGAUGCAGCGACGCCGCGUGAGGGAUGACGGCCUUCGGGUUGUAAACCUCUUUCAGUAGGGAAGAAGCGAAAGUGACGGUACCUGCAGAAGAAGCACCGGCUAACUACGUG
RNAcentral lists this ribosomal RNA (466 nucleotides) under uncultured bacterium. Its description in RNAcentral is "partial 16S ribosomal RNA". It matches the Rfam family "Bacterial small subunit ribosomal RNA", at positions 28 to 507 of the family's 1533-position model. The record is from RNAcentral.